UAGGGAAUUUUCGUCAAUGGGGGCAACCCUGAACGAGCAAUGCCGCGUGAGCGAAGAAGGUCUUCGGAUUGUAAAGCUCUGUUGCCGGGGAAAACGGAAGGAAAGAGGAAAUGCUUUUCUUUGGAUGGUACCCGGCCAGAAAGUCACGGCUAACUACGUGCC
This 162-nucleotide ribosomal RNA is filed under the name uncultured bacterium. RNAcentral's name for it is "partial 16S ribosomal RNA". It matches the Rfam family "Bacterial small subunit ribosomal RNA", at positions 355 to 509 of the family's 1533-position model. The record is from RNAcentral.